UGAACACUGAUUAGCAGACAAAUAUCUGUGCACAGGGGCAAUGCGGGGCCCCUCAUUGACACAGAACAAGCCUCUGAGGGCGGACCUCCUGAAUAUAUCAGUAUAGGUUAGGGCAGUAUAAUCUGGAGUUCACUGUGGGGGCUCAGCACCUAGAACAGGAAAAAAAAAAAAACCCUGAGGCUGGACUGGUCAUUGGAAUUGGUGUCAGGCAAGAGGGCCCUGCUAUGAGGAGAGAAGAGCUGGGGGCCAAGGACUGGAGCAGGAAGGGACCCAGUCAAGGCCAACACUGACCCCAGAGGAUGAGCCCCUGGGAGGAAUCGUCUCUUCAUGAUGUAGACUCCCACGCCCAAGUUUUGCCUGUAAAACUAGAACAGGUUCCAUCCAUGCUGAACUGCCCGCCCUUUCUCAUCUUGGUUUCCCUCUGCAGUGACUCACUGGUCUGAGCACGUUUCUCCCCACAUCAGGGAUGGGAAGCACGGAGAAGACCGUGGUCCAGCGCCCUCUGAAGUCAUUGGCGACCGCGAUGGAAGUAGUUGGGGGUCGACAGUAAAGUUGGAGACUGAAAUUAUUUGAGCUCUUAAAAUGGGAUAAUAAGGUAACUUUCCUCCUCCUGGUAUGAGCUCAUUUAAUUGUAAAGAUCUUAAUAAAUUCAGCCUGAUUAACUCCAACCUUGUGGGGGAAGGUUAUUCAGUGUUGUGGAAUUUAUUUUAAACAGAAGCAAAAAAACAAAUUGGAGCGAGAAGAAAAAAUCUUUAGUGCAGGAUAAGGUGGGAGGGAGGUGUGUGUGCAGGAAGCCACGAAUGGGGAGCACUCACUGAGCCUCCUCCAGAAACCACACCA
Molecule: long non-coding RNA, 840 nt
Filed under: Homo sapiens (human)
Lineage: Eukaryota; Metazoa; Chordata; Mammalia; Primates; Hominidae
Description: HSALNT0388228
Source: RNAcentral